This 198-nucleotide ribosomal RNA is filed under the name uncultured bacterium. Its description in RNAcentral is "partial 16S ribosomal RNA". It matches the Rfam family "Bacterial small subunit ribosomal RNA", at positions 328 to 539 of the family's 1533-position model. The record is from RNAcentral.
ACGCUCGACACCUACGGGAGGCAGCAGUGGGGAAUAUUGCACAAUGGGGGAAACCCUGAUGCAGCGACGCCGCGUGGAGGAAGAAGGUCUUCGGAUUGUAAACUCCUGUUGUUGGGGAAAAAGAGGAUGGUACCCAACAAGGAAGUGACGGCUAACUACGUACCAGCAGCCGCGGUAAUCUGAGCGGGCUGGCAAGGC